This 253-nucleotide ribosomal RNA is filed under the name uncultured bacterium. RNAcentral describes it as "partial 16S ribosomal RNA". It matches the Rfam family "Bacterial small subunit ribosomal RNA", at positions 524 to 776 of the family's 1533-position model. The record is from RNAcentral.
UACGUAGGGCGCGAGCGUUGUCCGGAAUCAUUGGGCGUAAAGCGCGCGUAGGCGGCCCGGUAAGUCCGUUGUGAAAGUCCAAGGCUCAACCUUUGAACGCCGAUGGAUACUGCCGGGCUAGAGUCCGGAAGAGGCGAGUGGAAUUCCUGGUGUAGCGGUGGAAUGCGCAGAUAUCAGGAGGAACACCGAUUGCGAAGGCAGCUCGCUGGGACGUUACUGACGCUGAGACGCGAAAGCGUGGGGAGCAAACAGG